CUUCGUCCGCGCGUCCCGAAAAUUCAACACCGUCGUCUGGAAAAAGAAAACGAAGAAACAAACGAAAAUCAAACGAAGAUUUUUCAUGUGGGCGAGUAGUAGAAACUAGAAAGAAAGACGAGAACAAUUGUUAGUUGGUGACACAGCAAUAAAUAUACACAAUUCGAGAGAGAAACAAAAACAAAAAAAAAAACAAGACGUAACGAGACGAUUAAAGGAGGGUUGCUAUGGCGACGGGGGAGUAAAGAGAUGUUCAAUUAAUUGGUGGAAAGGAGGAAUAGGAGUAGAAAACAAAAUAUGUUUAUAAAAACAAAAGAAAUGUCGCGUUCCGUUCUAGAUGGAAGACGGCCAAUGUUUAUAUAGACGUCGCGGAAUGCGGUGAAAAUGAAAGAAAACAAGGGGACGAGCGCAUGCGAGAAAAGGAGGAGUAGCGACGAGAUGAGAAGAAUGGAACUGUAACACACACGAUGUGUGUUUAACCGAAAUAUCUCUACUGCCCACGGGUGAUGAUAAAAAGCUGCCACUAAUGAUGAUACAGACUGAUCAUCGAACGCAAAUCGUUCUAUUUCUGUUACGCCAUCUAUCGGUAAAUAUUGAUCGAAACGCAAUUACAUCACAUGCAAUUAAUCAAAAAGUUAACUUUGCGUUUCAGAUGUCAUCUUUGAAAACGUUCGCACGACCAUUCUCUUCGGAUAUGAAUUAAUUGGGAGGGUUGUAAACCUGGACGGUCGUGCAUCUGGGCGGAUGAUGUUGAUGUGAGCAUCUUCACGCUCGACGAUGCAAUAUUAAUUGGUGGAUGAAGAGAUGAAGGAGGAGGAGGAGGGAUCGACGUCCACCCCCCUCCGCAUACCGUCACUCAAUCAUACGACAUGUAAAGGUAAUGCGGCGGUCGAAGGGGAGGCGGCAACGGCGCGCACGCGUACCAACUCAACCCCCUUUUACAUAGUCGACGCGAACGGGCGGCAAUGAUGAUGGUGAUUAUGAUGAUGGUUACACGAAUGAAGGAACGUACAUGCAAUUGGUAAUUCUGAAUUUUAAAUGGGACAACAACAACAACAGAAGAAAGAAAUAAAAGCGAGUCGAAAUUUGGAAAGUGACGCAUAACGAUGAUCGAUUUUAAUUAAUCGUUUUCGUGCUGCUGCAACCACCGAUUUUCAAUGUGUUUCUUUUAUAAAUUUUGGUGGAAAUGAGGUAAUUGUUGCGAAAUGCGAUUCGGUUGGUGCAACUUAAUUGAAGCGGAACAACAAGGAUGUUGGAAACAAUGCGGAAACAAAAGCGAGUCGGUAUUUUCGUUGACAAUUAUCCUUGAUGGUAAUAAUAACUUUUAGUGUUUGUUUUGUGUGCGUGUGUGUGUGUGAACAUUCGAUGAGAACUGGAAGAUAUUUUCGCGACGUGAUGCUGUGUAAGUAAAUAUUUGUAUUUGCUAUUUUGUUUAGUUUAGGGAAAAAAAAAUUAUAAUUCUUAGGCAAAUUUUGACAUAUGCGGGAUUUUCUGAUUGGUUCGUCGGAAAACAAGUGAAAAUGCAGCGGGCAUAAUGUCAGGGGGUGAAAGAGAGAGAGAGAGAGAGAGUAGAAGCACAUACAACACACAAAAUCGAUGUGUGUGCGACAUACACACAUAUACAGAGAGAAGCGCGCCGGUCGAUGCGCCCCUCCGUCUCCGUCCUUCUCGCACUCGCGCGGACGAUGGACGGGCGUGCGCGACGGUAUAAAAUGGUUCCAGUACGAUAUGUAUGUGUACAAACUCGCAUGCAUGUAUUCCAAGAAAACAAUCUAUCAAUCUCUAUUUUUCUUUUCUUUUUUUCUCUCUCUCUCUCUCUGCGCAUUUAUGAUUUCAUUUGUAAUCGAGUCUAAUUGGAA
This is a long non-coding RNA of Nicrophorus vespilloides, 1859 nucleotides long. RefSeq lists it as uncharacterized. The transcript is spliced from 6 exons. The record is from RefSeq and is a predicted model, not a curated record. Lineage: Eukaryota; Metazoa; Arthropoda; Insecta; Coleoptera; Silphidae.